RNAcentral lists this ribosomal RNA (903 nucleotides) under Triticum aestivum (bread wheat). RNAcentral describes it as "partial small subunit ribosomal RNA". The record is from RNAcentral. Lineage: Eukaryota; Viridiplantae; Streptophyta; Magnoliopsida; Poales; Poaceae.
AUGGCCAACAGAAAGAAUGUCAUGGCCAUGUUAUUUCUCACCACCAUUGUGGCGGUGGCGGCCACAAGGCCAGCCGAGACCUAUGGCGCUGCGGAGGAGAACACAUUGAAGAUGGCUACCCCCAGCAGGAAAGGGGUUGACGCUACCUUAGCAGCUACACGUGUUGUUGCCGCCGAGAAGUCCAUCAAGAAGGCUGAAAGCGCCACCACACCAGAAGAGGCCGCGGCCGCCAAGCAAGAUGGAGCAAAAUCUGCUUCUGCUGCAUUAAAGUACAAUACCAUCUCUCAGCAGGCAAAUGGUAAAGGUUCUUCUACCUCCCUAGGCAGGAAAGAAGCAGCCGGUACUUUAGCCGCCGCACACUAUGCCACCGCCGAAAAGUCCAUCAAGAAGGCCAAAACCGCCAAGACACCUGCAAAGGCCGUGGCUGCCAAGCGAGACGCAGCAAAGUCUGUUGACGAUGCAUUAAAGUAUGGUGCCAUCUCUCGGAAAGCAGCUGGUACAAGUUCUUCUACCUCCCCCAAUAGGAAAGAAGGCACCACUGAUGCUGCUAAGAUGUUCACCAAGAAGGCCGAAACCGCUACCACACCUGAAGAGGCCGCGGCUGCCAAGCAAGCUGCAGCCAAGCAAGCUGCAGCCAAGUCUACCGCUGCUGCAUCAAAGUAUGGUGUCAUUUCUCAGCAAGUAGCUGGUACAAGUUCUUCUACCUCCCCUAGCAGGAAAGAAGCUGCCGGUACCUUGGCAGAUGCUCGCAUAGCUGCUGCCGAGAAGUCCAUCAAGAAGGCUGAAACCGCCACCAGACCUGAAGAGGCAGCAUCCGCUAAGAAGGAUGCCGCGAAAUCUGAGGCUGAUGCAAUGAAGUACGGGGCCAUCUCUCAGCAGGCCGCCGGCAAAAAUGGUGCCUAA